RNAcentral lists this ribosomal RNA (503 nucleotides) under uncultured bacterium. RNAcentral's name for it is "partial 16S ribosomal RNA". It matches the Rfam family "Bacterial small subunit ribosomal RNA", at positions 30 to 523 of the family's 1533-position model. The record is from RNAcentral.
AUUGAACGCUGGCGGCAGGCUUAACACAUGCAAGUCGAGCGGGGGAGGUUACUUCGGUAAUUGACCUAGCGGCGGACGGGUGAGUAAUACUUAGGAAUCUGCCUAUUAAUGGGGGACAACAUCUCGAAAGGGAUGCUAAUACCGCAUACGCCCUACGGGGGAAAGCAGGGGAUCACUUGUGACCUUGCGUUAAUAGAUGAGCCUAAGUCGGAUUAGCUAGUUGGUGGGGUAAAGGCCUACCAAGGCGACGAUCUGUAGCGGGUCUGAGAGGAUGAUCCGCCACACUGGGACGAAGACACGGCCCAGACUCCUACGGGAGGCAGCAGUGGGGAAUAUUGGACAAUGGGGGGAACCCUGAUCCAGCCAUGCCGCGUGUGUGAAGAAGGCCUUAUGGUUGUAAAGCACUUUAAGCGAGGAGGAGGCUCUUUUGGUUAAUACCCAAGAUGAGUGGACGUUACUCGCAGAAUAAGCACCGGCUAACUCUGUGCCAGCCGCCGCAGUAA